Molecule: non-coding RNA, 428 nt
Organism: Anas platyrhynchos (mallard)
Lineage: Eukaryota; Metazoa; Chordata; Aves; Anseriformes; Anatidae
Source: RefSeq, a predicted model, not a curated record
UUUUACACUGAAACACCUACCCCCCCCCCCCCCUUUUUUUUUUGCUUCUAAUCCUGAAAUUACAUGCAAAUAUUGACCUUCUUGUGAAUAUCCUCAAGGAUAACUUAUGAUUUGCUUCAACUGUGCUAUAAAUUUUAACUUUGGAAAAGCAACUUACCUACAGUAUUCAAAGCCCGAAAAACAACUGCAUUUCACUGGAGAGAUUUUUCAGCUACAUCCCCAAGAUCCUACAUGCAGAUGUAUUCCAAACCAGACAGUCUCACUCCCAUCAUGCUUCCUCCACAACUAAAACUCAGACUUACUCUGGUCUCUCCAGUGAUCUCCAGAUCAUACCUGUGGUCUAAUCAGUGCAAGAAAGAAGAGAUGACAAGUAGAUGAGGAACAAAGGAUAAACGAUUGGGAUGAUGUAGGAGACAACAGACUGGCAG